GGUUUUGGGCUUUACAUCUACAAUUACCACCUUAUCUGAUUCAGGGGAUGAAGAAGCAGUGAUGGGUUUAGGAGACGGUGGAUUUCUUGAAGUGGGUUUUGAAAGGGGAUUAAAAAGGAAAGGUUUGGGAUGAAAAAGAUUGAAUCUUGGACCAGUAAGAUUGAAUCUUGAACCGGAAUUAGAUGAUCGAAGGGAGGAAACUUGACGGAGAGCAGCGGUAGGAAUGGCGAAGGAACGUGAUCGCAGAUGGUGAUAGGAGAGACGAGAGAAAGAUGUGGUGGCGGCUGCGGCGGCAGAGGUGGCUGAAGAUGGAGAGUGAAGUGCCAAUCUCUCCAUUUUUUUUUUCUCCGGCAAAGAGUGAAGUGAAAAGAGAAAAGAGAUGAAAUGUGAAAAGGGUGAGGGAGGGACCUUUGGGGUGGCGGAAACUACAAUGGCCACAUAAUAGAUCGUUUGAGAGGGUAAGGGCCACACUAAAUAAAGUAAAAUAAAAUAACAAGAGAAAAAGCUUCAACAAUACUCGUACAAGAUUGGUGAAGUCACCCUUGUAAUGUUCAUUCCAAUGCUUAUGGUAACUCCAAGGUGGUAGGUUUUUCAAAUGUAUGUGUUGCGUCUUUCAAAUUAAAAAAAAGAGAUAGAUUGUAGACUAGUAUUUUGUGAUACCAUUUUCUAAUAUAUUUAUAACGCUGCAAUCACUUGUAUGCGCUCAAUAAAUCACGGCCUCUCUUCUCAGUUAUAAAAUUUGAUAACCUUUGAAUAUACGUAUUCCAAAUUUAUGUACUCUUUCUUCAAAAGGAAAAUGAAAUGUCAUGCUAAUUGAUCAAGUUUGUCCUGUCUCUAACAUUGAGGAACAUAUAAGAACAAGAAUAUGUGAAUUAGACUAAUAUAGAAGGGAUGAGGAAAUCAGAUUUAUCAGAAUAGAGUCUAUAGAUGAGAGAUGGAAUAUUAAACAUCACAUUAAGCAGUGCGAUUAUUAAUAAAAUUCUGUAACAUCUUGUUAGGCCCAACUUUUUUAAUUGAAUGCUCUCAUUCUCCCCUUCUAAUUCAUAGUGUCUACAAAAUCAAACUUGGAAUUAUUGAUUGGGAUGAUAUAUUAUCAUGUGAUAUGGAAGUGAGUAUUGGGCUUAAUUAUUGGCCUUUCGUUUGCCCCAAAUACCAAAGAGGACCAAAUGGCCACCAACUAUGUUUGGCCUUUCAACUUGUUUAUGCUUGGAUAUAUAUACGAAUAUUUAAGAGUUAGGACACAUGAAAUUCAAUUACCUUCUUUUGAAAUUGAUAACCAAAUAUUGAUAAGAAAAUGUUCAAAGGAAAAACAAGUAGGGAUAUUAAUUACAAUACUAACGAUAUAAUUUUAUGGAGAGAGUGGUACGUGCUCAAGUCUGGGGUUGACAUGUCGUGAUUUGGAAGUGAGUAUUGGGCGUUUGCAUUUUAAAUAUGCGUCUAAGAUUAAAAAGUAUUUUUUAACUUGUAAUUUUUUGCUACAAAUACAUCGAACAGGCUCAAGGUACCUAAGAAAUUCCAAGUCAGAAAAUUUUAAUUGUUUUCCUUUCACCAAUUGUUUUAGGUUUUUAAAUCUUAAAGAAUUUUAUUAAGAAAAUAUUCAUAAAAUCAAUUAAUUAAAUUUUUUUAAAUUUUUUUAGUAAUUUAGUUAAUUGAUUGCAUAAAGUUUCACCUUCCCGAUAAGAGUUUAAUUCCCUAUGGCCUCCAUUCCAAUCUCUCUAUGGCCUCCAUUCCAAUCUCUUUUUUUCCUUUUUUUUUUUCAUUUCACUUCAUUAAAUAAUUUGUUUAUUAAUUAAAAAAUUCAUUCAUAUUUAUUAUUCUAAUUAUACCUAAUAAGUUAAAACAAAACCUUCAUCUAUUUACAUUCCCUACUUAAAUAAUAUGUCUUUUCAAUUUAUUUUUAAUUAUUCUUAUGGUUUACACAAACUAUAAAUAACAACUAUCUAUGUUCAAUGAUCAUUCUCAUUUUCUCAUUCUUUCUUUUUAUUAGUAUAGUUUUUUCCUCUUUUAUAUUUUUUUCUUCAUCUUUUUCAUCAAUCAUGUACUUAAUAAGUUCACCAUAUGAUCUUCAUAUUGAUAAAAAUCAUAGAUAUAUUAUUCAAGAUUCAUCAAAUUGAUGUUUGCAUUAGUUUGGUACAAGUUUAUGAGAAUGAAGAAGGAAUCAUAAUUAUUUCAAGAUUUCAUCAAGAAGAUGGUCAUAUUAGUAAAAUAGUUUGAAUGAUUUCUAAAUAUUUUGAAGAUUAAUUCAUUCAUGCAUUGUUUUGAUUAUAUUUUUUAGUUAGAUAUAUAAUUUCAUGUUAUUCAACAAAAAUUAAAUUAUGAAACUCUACUAAUCAACACAUUAGAAAGCUCAAUUAACAUUAUUUUCUUCAUUUUACUUUGCUCUUUUUCUUCUUCUUCUUCUUCUUCUUCUUCUUCUUAUUAUUAUUAUUAUUAUUAUUAUUAUUAUUAUGUGAAUGGAUGAAGAUGAAAAGUUAUUUAGUUUUAUUUUUAUGUAAUUUUUUCGUCAAGUUCUAAUUAAUAUUUUAAUUUUUGUCACAGUUGAAAAAUAUAAUAUUGCACAUGAUACAUUUCUUAUAGCUAUUGCAUCUCGAUGUCCCUAAAAAAUAUAUUAUGUAGUUUAUCAUAUUAAAAAAUAGUCAUAGACUAAACAAAAAAUACAUCUAAUUUUCAAUCCCAAUAGAUUAAUUUUUCACUUAUUUUUUUGACCUUCUUCUGAUUAUAAUUUUAGAAUAACAAUUUUAAAAAAAUAUUUUAAGUUAUUUUCUCUUUAUUAUUUACUUACAACCAAUAUAUCUUAUUUACAUAUAAAGUUAAAAUGUUAGAAAUAAAUAAGAUGAUGUGGUACAUUUCUAUCACCUCCGAUCACAUUUAUCUUUUCUUUAAAUUAUUUAGCAUGUUUUUUAUUUUUCUUAAUCAGUGUGAUAUUUUAAAAUAUAUUUUUAAAAUUUCCUCUUCAAAUAAUUACUUAAUAGUAUUAUUUUGCAUAAUUAACAUUUUUUUAUAUAUGUAACUUUUAUUUUUAAUUGUUAAUUGUUAAUUAAUAAUAUUCAUGACUUCAAAACCUUUCACGUGGAUAACCCCCUAAAGUAAUUUAUGUGCAAGUUAUAUAGUUUUUCUUAUCUUACUUAGUUGCUACAAGUAACAAUUUUAAAGAGAUUUUCUAUAGAGUUUUUAUAUUUUAUUAGUAUUUUUUAUAUAUAUUAUAAAUUUAUAAGUGUUUAUUAACAGUUUGGUAUAUUGCAACAGUUACUUUUUUUUCGUUCUGUAAUAAUAAUUAUUGUGUUGCUAUUUUUUUAAAAAAUAUUGAAUGUUUGCUUUUCAUUUUAGAUUCAUGUUAAAUUAAAAAAAUUAAGUAGAGUAUAUUGUUAGUUGAAUAAUGAAAAUAUGAUACUCCUAUUGAAUUGCUUAUUUAGUGUUGACAUGAUUUCUCAAUAUACCGAAGAUGAUUUUCACCAAAAUAAAAGUCAACCUUUUAUUAUUUUACAAGCAAUAGAUUCUAAAAGAUGUAAUUAUUUUUAGAUAAAAUAAUAUGAUAAGCAUGACUUGAAAUUAGUUGUAUAUUUCCACUCUAGGAAUUUCAUUCACCCACACCCCCCCCACACACACAUAUAUAUAUUUUUUCAUUAAUAUUUUUUUAUGAACACUGUAUAAUUUAACUCCCUCCUAAAAUAUAAUAUAGAAUUUACUACAGCCGCAUAAACAAAAAGAAAAUUUUCAUGAAUUUUUUUUUUACAUGUUUCUAAAGAUAACAUACCAAAUAGAUUAUACGAAAUCAACUAUAUUUAAAAUACUAAAAGCAUAGAUAGUGAACAACAAGUUGAAAAAUAUAACUUAUUGGGUUUAUGAUAAUAAUGUUUGACUCGAUAUAUUUAAACAAAAAAAUUUAUUCAUAAUGCUAAUAAUGUCCGAGCGAAGUGCGGAUAUGUUAACUAGUUAUAAUAAAAUUUAAAUCAAAAUCAAAUCAAUAUUAAUGUAAAAAGAAAAUCAAUUAACACUAAGAAUGACAAUAAUAAUGGAUAUUUUUUCUUUGGUUUUACAUUGAUUUAGUCAAUUGAAAUACAUAAUCUAAUUUUAAUUUCCUUUAAUAUUUAGUCAUGUAACGAAUACUCCCUCAAUCCCAUAAUAACUUAAGCUUUGAUCUAUUUUCCAUUUUUCAACUUAACUUAACUUUUCAAUUUUCAAGACUAUUUUUAAAAUAUUCUUCCAAUUUUAUCCUUUAAUUUAGUAUUGAAAUUAGUUAUUAUAAUUAAUGUUUAGUUAUUUUUGACAAUAAUUAAUAAUCAUAAAAAUGAAAAAUUGCAUUCAAUUAUUUAUGUCCUAACCUAUUUUUCUUAAAGGGUGUUAAACACCUAAAAACUUAAGUUAUUAUGGAAUGAAGGGAGUACUUAUAACUUAUUUUAGCAUGAUUUAGUAUUUUUAAACUAUGAUCAUUUUCAUUAUGACUUGUUAAUUUGCAAUGUUUGUUUUACGCGAUUUCAUUAUUAUUAUUAUUAUUACAUUUUUUAUGUCAUCAAUCAUAUAAUUGUUUGUGUUAUAUUCUUAUGAAACAUCUUAGAUAAUUAUAUUUUGGUAGGACUAAAGAAAUAUUUGAAGUGGAAGUAAAUUAUACAUUUGUAUGAAUAUUUUAACGGAAAAAAUCCGAGAUUGAAAAAUUAGAGUUUUUUUUAAAAAAAAAUAUAGAGUAGUUUAUAGAUUUAAAAAUACUAUAUAAAUAAUUUAAUUUAAUAUUUAAAAAAUCUGAACCAAUCCGACCAUUUACGUCUUUAUUAGUACGAAAUAUGAAGAGUGUGGUUAUGCAUAAUCAAAAGAGAAUAUUGUGUAAGACUUUGAGAGCUAUAAAAUACAAUCAUAUUUGAUAGGAUGAAGAAAGUGUAACGCACGAUAAUUGAAGCCCCUAAAUUGUUUAAUCCAAUUUCCAUGCCAUGUGUUUAUUAAAAUUAGUUGCAUAAACAUGCAUCUUGAGCUGUGAAACUAAUGGCCUACCAAGUCUAUGUAUGUAUGUUUAUGUAUAUAUAUAGUAGCAAAAAAAAGAGAGAAGCUACUCAAAUCAAACUUGCUCGUUUGUUUAUUAAGUACUCAUCCAUCCACCAAAUUAAAAUCGUAAAUGGCUUGCAGGUUAGAUAUCGAAAUUCAAUCAAGGAAAUUGUUGAAACCCUCAGCUUCUACUCCGGAUAAUCUACGGAGGCUGAAGCUUUCCUUGUUCGAUCAGCUGGCUCUUCGUACAUAUAUACCGGUUCUCUUCAACUACUUGCCGAGCAGCAGUUCAACAUCAUAUGAUGAUGAGCUUGAAAAAUCAUUGGCCGAGACGCUAACCAAGUUUUACCCUUUUGCUGGAAGAUUUGCAAAAGAUAUUGAUCCAUUCUCCAUUGACUGCAAUGAUGAAGGUGUUGAAUAUGUUCAAACCAAAGUCAAUGCAGACGAUCUCGCCCAAUUUCUCCGUGGUCAAGCCCAUAAUGAUAGUGAGUCGUCUUUGAUUGAUCUUCUUCCAAUAAAAGAUGUCGAGCCAUCAUCGCCAUCGAGUCCGUUAUUUGGUGUCCAAGUGAAUGUAUUUAAUAACGGAGGAGUAACCAUUGGGAUACAAAUUUCACAUAUCGUAGCUGAUGCUUUCACUAUGGCAACAUUUGUAAAUGAAUGGGCGCACACUUGCCUUACAGGCCGGACCGUCAGUAAUAAUCCCGGUUUUGGUCAAUUGUCAUUGCUCUUCCCAGCAAAAGUGCUACAGUUUCCAUCUCCAUCACCUGAUCUCAACACUAACACUACUACAACUGGCCCUAAUUAUAAGAUUGUCACAAGGAGGUUUGUCUUUGAUGCUUUGGCAAUAGAAAACCUCAGAAAAACAAUCAAAGACAAUGAUAUGAUGAUGAAGCAACCUUCUAGAGUGGUGGUCAUUAUGUCUCUAAUGUGGAAGGUUCUUACACACAUUUCUUCCGCCAAAAAUAAUGGAAAUUCAAGGGACUCGUCUUUAGGAUUUCCUAUUAAUAUGAGGGGAAAACUGUCAUGUACUGCACCCUCUUUAGAACAUGCUCUAGGGAACUAUGGAAUGAUGGGAAUUGCUGAUAGGAAGGCAAGAAGAAAGGAUGAUGAGUUGAAUGAUUUUGUAAAGUUGGUAGGAAAUACCAUAUGGAACACAUGUGAAGCCAUUGGUAAGGCGGAAAGCGUUGAUGAUAUUUCCUCUCUAGCAUUUAACAAUCACAUAAAAGGUGUAGAAAAACUUCUCCAAGAAGACAAGAUGGACGUUUAUGGCACCACUAGCUGGUGCAAAUUACCUUGGUAUGAAGCUGACUUUGGUUGGGGAAAACCAUUUUGGGUCAGCCCCGUUGGCCUCAAUCUUAUUGAAGGAGCUAUUCUGAUGGACACAAAAGAUGGUAAUGGAGUACAACUAACAAUUUGUUUAAAGGAGAAAAACAUGACUGAAUUCGAGAAACACCUUCACAUAUUUUCCUCCACUCCCAUACUUGGAUAAAAGGAAUUUCUUAUUUUGCUAUGAUAAUUUUUUAUGUAUGUAUGUGUGUGUGUUAGCCCCUCGGCGCUAAUUGAUAUAAUAUCUUUAUUGUCUUGUUGGUUUAGUAAAAUGAAUUGAUUAUUAUUAAUAGGCAUAAUGCAUAAGUGAAUAUUCACAAUAACACAACAUCAAGGAAGGGAAAUUUUGUUUUAUCAUUUGAUCAAAGGCCUUUUUUGGUCAUGACUAGCCAACAUCAUGAUAAGUGAAUACGAUAUAUGUAACGAGUUCUUGCCUUUUUUGGUCAUGACUAAGCACAUAACUACUUUAUUAGACUUAUAAGUUAUAAAAUGAACAAUUUCAUAACAAUAUAUGCUUAUUCAACAGAAGGAAACUGCUCAUCUAAACUAGCAGGACUGGACCUUAUAUGCAAUACUAACCCCAUAUAUGUAAUGUGUUCUUGAAAGAGAGAGAUGCACAACCAGAAAAUAAAGUAAUACUUAAUCAAAUGCAUAAUGUCUUCAGUUGCAAAUUCAAGAUAAAUACCAAGUCUUCAGGCAAAGAUCACUCAAACAUAAACCCCACAGCUAUCUUAGAAUCAGUAAUUGCAAAUCUCCUCAUGGUUAGCGAAACUCUUUCUAGAGAAGUGAGAACAAUGACUCUCUCAACUAAUCCAGCACAGCUGCUUACAAAUUUAUCUAUUUGAUAAUAGAUUGAAAUUAUACAAACUUACAUUGUAAAAAUAACAAUUACCCUAUCAAUAGAACCUAAUAGUUUAACCUAUUUUAGCAUGCCAAUAGCCUUAUUUUUCAGGUUAGAGUCUUGGUCAAAACUGAGGUUAUAAGUCCAAGAAAAGCCCAUGCACCUACUGGCAAUGGGCUGAGGACCAAACCAGCGAUUGUUGAGAGGAAAAUGGAGAGCAAUUGCCAUGCUUGAGGAGAAACUUCAGGUGGUCUUGGAACCAAGAAUCGGACUAUAAGACCAAUUGAAACAGAAAUAAUCAAAGGAAUGAGCUUCGCACCCUGGGUUUUGGGCUUUACAUCUACAAUUACCACCUUAUCUGAUUCAGGGGAUGAAGAAGCAGUGAUGGGUUUAGGAGACGGUGGAUUUCUUGAAGUGGGUUUUGAAAGGGGAUUAAAAAGGAAAGGUUUGGGAUGAAAAAGAUUGAAUCUUGGGCCAGUAAGAUUGAAUCUUGAACCGGAAUUAGAUGAUCGAAGGGAGGAAACUUGACGGAGAGCAGCGGUAGGAAUGGCGAAGGAACGUGAUCGCAGAUGGUGAUAGGAGAGACGAGAGAAAGAUGUGGUGGCGGCUGCGGCGGCAGAGGUGGCUGAAGAUGGAGAGUGAAGUGCCAAUCUCUCCAAUUUUUUUUUCUCCGCAAAGAGUGAAGUGAAAAGAGAAAAGAGAUGAAAUGUGAAAAGGGUGAGGGAGGGACCUUUUGGGGUGGCGGAAACUACAAUGGCCACAUAAUAGAUCGUUUGAGAGGGUAAGGGCCACACUAAAUAAAGUAAAAUAAAAUAACAAGAGAAAAAGCUUCAACAAUACUCGUACAAGAUUGGUAAAGUCACCCUUGUAAUGUUCAUU
RNAcentral lists this long non-coding RNA (8020 nucleotides) under Solanum lycopersicum (tomato). RNAcentral's name for it is "long non-coding RNA (SLYC_LNC001104)". The record is from RNAcentral. Lineage: Eukaryota; Viridiplantae; Streptophyta; Magnoliopsida; Solanales; Solanaceae.